Molecule: ribosomal RNA, 464 nt
Filed under: uncultured bacterium
Lineage: Bacteria
Description: bacterial SSU rRNA
Rfam family: Bacterial small subunit ribosomal RNA
Source: RNAcentral
GGUUAACGCUGGCGGCGUGCCUAACACAUGCAAGUCGAACGGUUCUAAGCGCGAGCUUAGGAUAGUGGCGAACGGGUGAGUAAAAGGUAGGAAUCUACCCCUUGGACGGAGAUAGCUACUGGAAACGGUAGGUAAACUUCGAUAAGCCCGAGAGGGGAAAGUGGUGAGACAGCCGAGGGAUGAGCCUACUCUCCAUCAGGUAGUUGGUGAGAUAAAAGCUUACCAAGCCGAUGACGGAUAACCGGUGUGAGAGCAUGAACGGUCACAAGGGCACUGAGAGACGGGCCCUACUCCUACGGGAGGCAGCAGUGGGGAAUCUUGGACAAUGGGCGAAAGCCUGAUCCAGCGACGCCGCGCGGAGGAAGAAGUCCUUCGGGAUGUAAACUUCUGAACUAGCCGAAUAAAAGGCCUGUGGACACACAGGAGAAGAAAGUAGGCUAGGAAAAGUCCCGGCUAACUACGUG